CAGUCGCCACGGUAAUACGUAGGGUGCGAGCGUUAAUCGGAAUUACUGGGCGUAAAGCGUGCGCAGGCGGUUGUGUAAGACAGGUGUGAAAUCCCCGGGCUUAACCUGGGAACUGCGCUUGUGACUGCACAGCUAGAGUGUGGCAGAGGGGGGUGGAAUUCCACGUGUAGCAGUGAAAUGCGUAGAGAUGUGGAGGAACACCGAUGGCGAAGGCAGCCCCCUGGGCCAAUACUGUCGCUCAUGCACGAAAGCGUGGGGAGCAAACAGGAUUAGAUACCCGGGUAGUCCCUGUCUCUUAUAC
This 301-nucleotide ribosomal RNA is filed under the name uncultured bacterium. RNAcentral describes it as "partial 16S ribosomal RNA". It matches the Rfam family "Bacterial small subunit ribosomal RNA", at positions 509 to 807 of the family's 1533-position model. The record is from RNAcentral.